This 75-nucleotide ribozyme is filed under the name Crocodylus porosus (Australian saltwater crocodile). RNAcentral's name for it is "Mammalian CPEB3 ribozyme (ENSCPRG00005011715.1)". It matches the Rfam family "Mammalian CPEB3 ribozyme". Rfam says of the family: The mammalian CPEB3 ribozyme is a self cleaving RNA located in the second intron of the CPEB3 gene which belongs to a family of genes regulating messenger RNA polyadenylation. The record is from Rfam by way of RNAcentral. Lineage: Eukaryota; Metazoa; Chordata; Crocodylia; Crocodylidae.
AAUUGCCAUAAUGGCCAUAGCAGAAGUGCUCAUGUUGCGGCCCUAUCAGAUUGUAACAAAUCUGUGAAUUCUCCU